UGACCUCAAAUCAGGUAGGAAU
RNAcentral lists this ribosomal RNA (22 nucleotides) under Rhizophagus clarus. Its description in RNAcentral is "partial 28S ribosomal RNA". The record is from RNAcentral. Lineage: Eukaryota; Fungi; Glomeromycota; Glomeromycetes; Glomerales; Glomeraceae.